AUGGCUCCCAACGAGACGGCGCAGAAGCUGCUCCUCCAAGGAGCCCAAAAUGCAUGGGAUAUGCUGUCUGAGGAGCAAUCACAGAAACACAUCACUACUGGCUCUGGUGACCUGAACGGCAUACUUGGUGGAGGGAUUCAUUGUAAAGAAGUUACUGAGAUAGGUGGGGUUCCAGGAAUUGGUAAAACUCAACUGGGGAUUCAGCUAGCAAUCAACGUCCAAAUUCCCGUGGACUAUGGUGGCCUUGGCGGCAAAGCAAUUUAUAUUGAUACAGAGGGCAGUUUCAUGGUUGAACGCGUCUAUCAAAUUGCUGAAGGGUGCAUCAGUGACAUAAUGGAGUAUUUUCCAUGCCACCAUGACAAGUCGUCAUCUGGCCAAGAAAAUCUGCAGCCCGAGAGUUUCCUGGCAGGAAUCUACUACUUCCGAAUAUGCAGCUACACUGAACAGAUUGCGGUGAUAAACUAUCUGGAGAAAUUCCUCGGAGAACAUAAAGAUGUGAGAAUAGUUAUUAUUGAUAGUGUUACUUUCCACUUCCGACAAGAUUUUGAUGAUCUGGCUCUGAGGACUAGAGUGCUCAGUGGAUUAUCAUUGAAGUUGAUGAAGCUUUCAAAGUCAUAUAACUUGGCGGUUGUCUUGUUGAACCAAGUAACUACUAAAUUUACAGAAGGAUCAUUUCAGUUAACUCUUGCUCUAGUGACUGCAAGUCGACAGCAUCUCCGAAGGGGUUGGAUGUUAGCUCGCAAAAUUUCUUCUCCAAGUAGAAUUGCUGACAGUGACAGCUGGUCCCACUCGUGCACAAAUCGACUGAUUCUGUACUGGAAAGGGAACGAGCGGUGUGCAUACCUGGACAAGUCCCCUUCACUUCCUGUAGCUUCAACACCGUAUGCAGUGACAAGCAAAGGGGUGAGAGACGCUGGCAGUUCAAGCUGCAAGCGAGUUAGGGUAAUGUAG
This 951-nucleotide ribosomal RNA is filed under the name Triticum aestivum (bread wheat). RNAcentral's name for it is "partial small subunit ribosomal RNA". The record is from RNAcentral. Lineage: Eukaryota; Viridiplantae; Streptophyta; Magnoliopsida; Poales; Poaceae.